Molecule: ribosomal RNA, 253 nt
Filed under: uncultured bacterium
Lineage: Bacteria
Description: partial 16S ribosomal RNA
Rfam family: Bacterial small subunit ribosomal RNA
Source: RNAcentral
UACGUAGGGGGCAAGCGUUGUUCGGAUUCAUUGGGCGUAAAGGGUGCGUAGGCGGCGCGGUAAGUCGGGUGUGAAAUCUCGGAGCUUAACUCCGAAACUGCAUUCGAUACUGCCGUGCUUGAGGACUGGAGAGGAGACUGGAAUUUACGGUGUAGCGGUGAAAUUCGUAGAUAUUCGCAAGAACACCAGUGGCGAAGGCGGCUCACUGGCCCGAUACUGACGCUGAGGCACGAAAGCGUGGGGAGCAAACAGG